UACGACUACAUAUCAGGCAUAUCAAUAAGCGGAGGAAAAGAAACUAACUAAGGAUUCCCUCAGUAACGGCGAGUGAAGCGGGAAGAGCUCAAAUUUGAAAUCUUCAAGGUUCUUACCUUGACGAAUUGUAGUUUAAAGAAGUGUUUUCUGUUGAAGUUUUGGUAAAAGUUCUUUGGAAUAGGACAUCAUAGAGAGGUGAGAAUCCCGUAUUUGACCAUUAUUUUCCAGCUGUUGUGAUACACUUUCAAAGAGUCGGAUUGUUUGGGAAUGCAGUCCAAAAUGGGUGGUAAAUUUCAUCUAAAGCUAAAUAUUGGCGAGAGACCGAUAGCGAACAAGUACCGUGAGGGAAAGAUGAAAAGAACUUUGAAAAGAGAGUUAAACAGUACGUGAAAUUGUCAAAAGGGAAGCUGUUUGACACCAGUGUUGUUUUCUCGAAAAUCAAUUAAAAAAAGGCAGGAUUUUGUGUUGUAUUGACUUUAUCAGCUUUCUGCACUCUUUUCUUGUCUUUUUUAAUGCACUUUUUCGUUUAACAAGUCAACAUCAAUUUCUUUUGUUGUAAAAGGGUCAUUGGAAGGUGGCUUUCUUUUCGGAGAAAGUGUUUUAUUAGCCUUUGGCCUCUGCAAUCGGAGAGAUUGAGGUCUGCAGCGUAGAUCCUUCGGGGUUAGAUACAUUUGUGCUAAGUUAUAGCCUUUCAUAGACAACUUGUUGACUAUGAUCAGUCAUGUAGCUUACUCGCUUAUGCUAUUUUACCUACGCUUAGGAUGUUGAGCGCAUGUCUCUCUCU
Molecule: ribosomal RNA, 784 nt
Filed under: uncultured Neocallimastigales
Lineage: Eukaryota; Fungi; Neocallimastigomycota; Neocallimastigomycetes; Neocallimastigales
Description: partial large subunit ribosomal RNA
Rfam family: Eukaryotic large subunit ribosomal RNA
Source: RNAcentral